RNAcentral lists this transfer RNA (64 nucleotides) under Scolytinae sp. BMNH 1274290. Its description in RNAcentral is "tRNA-Pro". It matches the Rfam family "tRNA". Rfam says of the family: Transfer RNA (tRNA) molecules are approximately 80 nucleotides in length. Their secondary structure includes four short double-helical elements and three loops (D, anti-codon, and T loops). Further hydrogen bonds mediate the characteristic L-shaped molecular structure. tRNAs have two regions of fundamental functional importance: the anti-codon, which is responsible for specific mRNA codon recognition, and the 3' end, to which the tRNAs corresponding amino acid is attached (by aminoacyl-tRNA synthetases). tRNAs cope with the degeneracy of the genetic code in two manners: having more than one tRNA (with a specific anti-codon) for a particular amino acid; and 'wobble' base-pairing, i.e. permitting non-standard base-pairing at the 3rd anti-codon position. Lineage: Eukaryota; Metazoa; Arthropoda; Insecta; Coleoptera; Curculionidae. The record is from RNAcentral.
CAGAAAAUAGUUUAAUAAAAUAUUAGUUUUGGAGACUAGAGAUAGAGGAAUACUUUUUUUCUGA